AAGCGCCGUACAUGUUACUGGGCGUGCGGUGAAGUGUAGACGGGAAAGAGCGAAAAAAUUAUAUCUUUCUUGAGCGUGUGGCGUUGGUGAAGGAUGCAACAUCGGCGCAUUCCCCAAUUUUUACGCUGAGGGACACCAUUUCUAUCGAUUCGGAUUCAGCGGGUCGAAAUACAUAAGGAUUGACUAGUCUAGUCCGCCGGACCAACCACUUUUUUUUUUGUGUGCCUGUGUAUUUAAAGUCGAGGCAAAGAGAUAGAGAUGUCAAGCGUGAAGACAAGAAGAGAGGAAGACGGAGUAUAUGAAGUUGGCACCCUUUUUUUGAAAAUCACAAUUUCGAAAGUUAUUCCAGGUUGUUUUAACCUUGUUCUACAUUGUUCCAAAGUGACAAAAUUUUAUCACAAACGGUUCUCUAUGAAAUAAAAGAAAAUGAUUUUUUGAGCUGGCACCGCUUUUUCAUGAAUCAAAAAAUUCGUUAUUGCUAUAGAUUGUUCUAGUUGUUUCAAGCAUUGUUUCAAAAGAAAAACUUCAUAAGAUAAACAAGAAGCUAUGAAAAAAAAAAAAAUUUUUGAGCUGGCACCCCUUUUUGCAAAAAUUAUAUAAUUUGCUAUUAUUAUAGAUUGUUAUAGUUGUUUGAAGCAUCGUUCCAAAGUAUAGUCUCUAAGUAUAGUUCCAAAGUAUAAAGUUUAAAAUAUGACUUUUGGACAACUAUAAGAUACAUCUUGAAGAAAAAAGUUCAAAUUUUAAGAAGAAAAAUAUGUCGCGUUCUUUUAAAAAAUAUGAUUGUUUUGUAUAUUGAAGAUUACCGAUUUUCAAAAAAGGUUUUUUUCGCUACGCACGUUGUUUUUCAAAUAAAUAAUUAAAUAGAAGACAAAAUAAGAAUAUAUACACAUAAAUAUAUAAAAAAUACAUUUAUUAAUUAAUCAAAAUUCAAGAAAAUAUUAAGGCAGAUCAGCGGAACAUUGUAAACAGGCUUUUGCAACAUGAUUGGUACACAUAGCACGUAGACAUUUUAAGCGAUAAAUCAAUAUAUCAAUAUAAUAAUACAUGAAAUCUUAUAAUUCUUAACAAUAAUGAUAAUACUUACAUGAUAAUCAACUUAACUGCAAAGUUGUAUAUUUUUAAUUUGUUAAAAGUUGCGUUAUCACGCUUUGGGAUCACUGAGACUUCAAACAAAAGUUUAUAUUUGUUUGUCUUUGUUGCCGAAGGAAGACUGACGCCGGCAACCGUUCAAGAUUAUAAUAUAACUAACAAACAUUCCCCCCCUCCAGUCCGGGAUUUCGGGCGACGCUGUGAACGAAGGGAUAAUUGGAAAAAAAAGGAAUAAGAAGUUUCUAAAAUUAGGAAACGAAAGGAUGUAGUCUUUAGCGCAUGCAUAUUAUGAUAUGAUUAUUUUAGCGGAAACGGGAAAGUUUUGGAGAAUACAAUGCUUAAAAAGGUUUUAUAGAAUAAAAAAUUAAAGCUAAAUUUCAAGAAAACAAAAGUAAUGGUAUUUAAUAGAAAUGGAAAAAAGGAAAAAUGAAACUGGGAAAAUAAGAAGUUAGAAGAAGUAAGGACAUUCAAAUAUUUUAUGUUUAACAGGAAAGGGGAAUAUAAAAAUUACAUUAAAGAGUUACUGAAAAAAAGGAAGUUGGCAAAUAACAAGGUUUCGGUUUUAGCAUUGUAAAAAUAAUUUUAGUACAUGAUUAUUGCUAUUUAACCUUUAAAAUACUGGCCCUUUUUACACGAUUUUUUUAGUUUUAGUGCUAGAAAAUUUGUGUCCUUGUCAGUGAAUUGAACUAUGAAAAAGAUAAUAUUGCUCCAGCGUCUUAUAUUAGGCUUCUAAUCAGAAAAAAAAGAGUGAUUAUUUUUCGUUGUAUUUGAAAUUUACGUUAUUGUUUAUUGUUAAAAUAAUUGUUUAACGCCAUUUAAAUUAAAAAUGUGUUAAAAAAUAUGUAUAAGAACAUAAUUAUGUCGCACUUUGUGAGGUAUAAGGCAGUAAAAUUUUAUUAUACAUAUUUUUUAAGGUAUAUUUUAACAUUUAAUUACACAUACUUCCUCAUUCUUUUUAAACUUAACCGCAUUAUCACCCAAAUGUAUGUACAGUAUUGAGUACUUUCUUAUUAUUUAACUUUUUACUUGGCUGUAUAUAUUUUGAGUUAUACAAAAUUAAACGAUGAUAUAGGAUGUUGUCAAUAUGGCCAUCUAAGUGUGCUAUGAGGUAAUAUAGUCACUUUCGAAAUCUCCAUAUCGACAAAAUUUCUCGAUAAAUCGAUUAAAGGCUUAAUUUAAGGCUGUUAAUCUUUUUAAAUCCUUUAUAUGAAUAAGGUUCUUCAGAUAUAAGGUUAUUUUUAUUUAAUUUUCAUUAAAUGUGAAUAAAAAUCACCUGUUUCAAUAUAACAACUUAUUUUAUGUACAUAUAAAUGUUUCUAACAAAAUACUGUGACCUUUUUAAACAAAACCAAUUUUUUUACAUUUAUUUUUGUGGUGGUCAUAUUACUCUCCCUAUUUCUUUUUGGCCCAUUAUGCAGUAUCGUUACAUUUUUAUAAAUAAUCUAUAACAUAAUGAAUAUUUUAUAACUUUGAAUUGAAAAUCUAAUGAGUAACACUUUGAUGAAUAUAAUUGUAAAAUUUUAACUCAAAACAUUGAUUAUUAACGAAGUUUGAUUGGGAUACAAGAGCAAUAAAACUGUUAAGGAAUAAUGUAGAGAGGGAUAUAAUAAAAGAAUUGGAGACAGACAUACAAAAACAUUGAGAAAGAAAGUAAAUUAAGAAACGGGAGAUACAAUAUAAGAUAUAAAGAAUAUAUAAGAUAAAAUUCAGAUAUUUAAGUAGAGAGAGUUUAGCAAAAAGAGUAAAAGAUAGAGCAAGGGUACGGGUGUUGAUUAAAAUAUGAAAAUAGAGAAGAAAAUAAAUAUUGUUUGGAGGAAAAAAGAAAGGUACGUGUAUUUUGUAUAGAAGGAGAAGAUGAGCUAAUACAUCUUAUUUAUCCAGUGAUUUAAGAAAAUUAAAGCGGAAAAAUCAAAACAAAUAUAGAACGACGAAUUAGAUGAAAGAGAAGAGAAAGUAUUAAAAAAAUUUUG
This is a long non-coding RNA of Monomorium pharaonis (pharaoh ant), 3059 nucleotides long. RefSeq lists it as uncharacterized. Lineage: Eukaryota; Metazoa; Arthropoda; Insecta; Hymenoptera; Formicidae. The transcript is spliced from 2 exons. The record is from RefSeq and is a predicted model, not a curated record.